Small nuclear RNA from Peromyscus maniculatus bairdii (prairie deer mouse), 107 nucleotides. The record is from Ensembl. Lineage: Eukaryota; Metazoa; Chordata; Mammalia; Rodentia; Cricetidae.
GUGCUCGCUUCUGCAGCAUAUAUACUAAAAUUGGAAUAACACAGAGAAGAUUACCAUGGCCUUUGUGUAAGGAUGACACGCAGAUUUAUGAAGCGUUCCAUAUUUUG